AUUGAACGCUGGCGGUAUGCUUAACACAUGCAAGUCGAACGGUAGCAGAAGAGAGCUUGCUCUCUUGCUGACGAGUGGCGGACGGGUGAGUAAUGCGUAGGGAUCUACCUUAAAGUGGGGGACAACCCGGGGAAACUCGGGCUAAUACCGCAUAAUUUCUAAGGAGAAAAGCUGGGGACCUUUUCGGAGGCCUGGCGCUUUAAGAUGAACCUACGUCCGAUUAGCUAGUUGGUAGGGUAAAGGCCUACCAAGGCGACGAUCGGUAGCUGGUCUGAGAGGAUGACCAGCCACACUGGGACUGAGACACGGCCCAG
RNAcentral lists this ribosomal RNA (314 nucleotides) under uncultured bacterium. Its description in RNAcentral is "bacterial SSU rRNA". It matches the Rfam family "Bacterial small subunit ribosomal RNA", at positions 30 to 334 of the family's 1533-position model. The record is from RNAcentral.